CCUACGGGAGGCAGCAGUAAGGAAUAUUGGUCAAUGGACGAAAGUCUGAACCAGCCAUGCCGCGUGAAGGAUGACGGCCCUCAGGGUUGUAAACUUCUUUUAUAGGGGACGAAAAAAUCCGAUUCUUCGGAGACUGACGGUACCCUACGAAUAAGCACCGGCUAACUCCGUGCCAGCAGCCGCGGUAAU
This 189-nucleotide ribosomal RNA is filed under the name uncultured Flavobacteriia bacterium. RNAcentral describes it as "partial 16S ribosomal RNA". It matches the Rfam family "Bacterial small subunit ribosomal RNA", at positions 338 to 524 of the family's 1533-position model. The record is from RNAcentral. Lineage: Bacteria; Pseudomonadati; Bacteroidota; Flavobacteriia.